RNAcentral lists this ribosomal RNA (445 nucleotides) under uncultured bacterium. Its description in RNAcentral is "SSU rRNA". It matches the Rfam family "Bacterial small subunit ribosomal RNA", at positions 26 to 518 of the family's 1533-position model. The record is from RNAcentral.
AGAACGAACGCUGGCGGCAUGCCUAACACAUGCAAGUCGAACGAGACCUUCGGGUCUAGUGGCGCACGGGUGCGUAACGCGUGGGAAUCUGCCCUUGGGUUCGGGAUAACAGUUGGAAACGACUGCUAAUACCGGAUGAUGUCUUCGGACCAAAGAUUUAUCGCCCAGGGAUGAGCCCGCGUAAGAUUAGCUAGUUGGUGGGGUAAAAGCCUACCAAGGCGACGAUCUUUAGCUGGUCUGAGAGGAUGAUCAGCCACACUGGGACUGAGACACGGCCCAGACUCCUACGGGAGGCAGCAGUGGGGAAUAUUGGACAAUGGGCGAAAGCCUGAUCCAGCAAUGCCGCGUGAGUGAUGAAGGCCUUAGGGUUGUAAAGCUCUUUUACCCGGGAUGAUAAUGACAGUACGGGAGAAUAACGCCCGGCUAACUCCGUGCCAGCAGCCGC